CGGCCGCUUGCCCGCCCGGUGCCGGGAGUAGACGGCGAACAGCACGGGCGGCGCCGACAGCAGCAGGAUGUGGAAGAGCCAGAAGCGGUAGUGCGACACCGGGAAGGCGCGGUCGUAGCAGGUCUGGCGACAGCCGGGCUGCAGCGUGUUGCACACGAACUCCUCCUGCUCGUCCUCGAACACGGCGCCGCCCACCGUGGCCAGCACCAGGAUACGGAAGAUCAGCAUGACCACCAGCCACAGGCGGCCCAGUAGCGGCGACUGCAGCUGCACGGCGUCCAGCAGCGAGCCCAGGAAGGCCCACUCGGCCAUGGCGCUGGGGACGGCGGCGCGAGUCAGGCGCGGGGAGCCUGCCCACCCUCGGGGGAGCCUGGCAGUGGGUCCCCGCACCUUGGGCCCCGCCCGGACUCUCAGGACCCAGAAGGCCCCACCUGCCUGGCCAUCUCCCACCGCACGCAGGACGGGGCUAAGCCAAGGUGGCCCCGCUCCAGGGUCCCCCACCCCACUCCCACAUCCCGCAGGGCCCUGAGCCCCCAGACCCACCCCACCCCACUCACCCAGGGCCGGGCUGGACCCUCACGGGGCAGCGGGGCAGCAGGGACGCCGGCUGGGACCUGUCCCUCCCGGGCCCUCUUUCAUUUUCCCUUUCGGGUUGGAGCCGGGAUGGAGGACAGGACAGGGUGGCUGAGGGGCUCGCCUCCCCCUUCUCUUAAAGGGACAGGGACAGGGUGACCCUGCUGAUGGCAGCUCCACCCUGGCCAGGCUGUUUCCAUCCCCCGUGCCAGCCCCUCCCGGGUUAUCACCGCCUGCAGAUGGGGCUGGGGUCACCCGGAGCUGCAUCCUGUGCCAGGUGACCGGGGCCCACCGCAGCUGGUGUCCCUGGCAUGUCUCGGGGCUGGCAUUUAGGUGUCACCUUCUGCCCCUGCUCCCACUAGGCUGUGGCCACUCUGGGCCGGGAUCGCCCGGCAGUCACCCGAGGAGGCCGGCCAGCUGCCCCCAGGAUUUGGUCUGUCCAGCACCGUGUUCACACUCAGGUUCCCACUGUUGCGGAAAACCCCAGAAAGCACUGUGUGGAAACCCAGGAGGUGCCCAGCAGGGCCAGCCUUGGGCCUAAACAAAGGUUCGGCUUCUUUCCUGUUCCCUGACUUGCAGUUGCUGGGAUGAACACCUUGGUUGGUUGGUUUUAAGACAGGCCGGGCAGUGUAACCCAGGAACCUGCGACCUUGUGCUUGUGAGGCAGGCGGCGGAACCACUGGGCUGAGUCCCUGGCCCUGCCCCUGAGCUCUUGAUCCUCCUGCCUCAGCCUGCAAGUGCUGGGAUGACAGAUGUGUCUGUGUAGAGGUGCAGGUGCUCCUCUGCUCUGGGGGAGGGUGGCCGAUGCAGACUCUGCAGGGCGAGGGGACCCCCGCACCUCCCCAGGAGCCUCCCAGCCUGCACAGCAUCCUGAGCCCAGCACUGUGUACAUCAGGGAAACUGAGGCCAGGGGGUCAUGCAGCAGGUGUGCUUCAGCCUGGCUGGCUUUCCCAGGGGGCGUCUGGGACCAGGCUGUCCCUGGGGCUUGCGUGGGGCUGGAGGCUGCCACGUGGAGGUGGCCGGACCCUUCCCUGUUCCUCUUCGGGGGAGGACACAGGCCCUGGGCCCCGCCCAGCCUGCAGCGCUCAGGGUUGUGCCCGGGUGGGCUCCCGCCUGGUCUCCUCCCGCCUCAGCACUCCCUCUGGAGUGGCCUGGGUGGGGGGCGCCACCCUGGCCAGAGUCCAAAGGCGCAGCAGGAGCCCGGGCCCCACAUGCUGGAAACAGGAUGUGGGGGGGCUCCGCGGGUCUCCCCUCUCCCGCUGAGGCAGAGCUGUCACCCGCGCCCCUCCUGCUGUCCCGGGCCUAUCCCUGCCUGGCCCAAGGCCCAGCCUGGAAAAACCCAUCAGACCCCGCCUGAGUGGGGCGCAGAGGGGUCCAGGCGGGCGGGUGGGGAGCCUGGGCCACCCGCACUGUCCCCCAGCGCGAGGCCACAGCGCGGGCACGGGCGCCUGCCCGAUAGCGGAGGUGUCGCUGAUGCUGCGCAGAGCUGACCACAGCGGCCUCCCGCGCGCGCCCCCCGGCGGUUAAGUGUAUGUCUCAUCCGGCCUGGGACAACCCACGGCCUUGGGCGAGCAGGGCCGAGCCACCCAGCUGAUCCCCGGCCCUUACUUCUCCUUUUCAGUGGGUUUCUUGCGUAAAAACUCCCAAGGACCUGCGGUCAUGCCAGGUGUAACCGGGUCAGGGUCCGGCUGAGUGGGACAAGGCCUCCCGGCCCACCCGCUGGCUGCCACCCAGUGACUCGCGGGGCGUGGUGGGUGUCCUCAGCGGGCAGGUCGGGCACCACGCUGUGCAGGGCGACAGACCGGGUGGGCGGGUGUGUGGGAAGCCUGUGAACGCGGUUCCUCCGGUGCUGUCCAAAGAGGGACCGCAAGCCAGCCUCGCCUGUCAGCCCAGAGCUUGGGAGGCUGAGGCCGGAGCAUCAGACCGAGUUCAAGGCCAGCCUGGACUAGACUCUGUCUCAAAAGAAGAGGAGCUCCCUGUGACCUGGCCCGAGCACCGGGUCGGAGGACGCUGCCCCCUCGCCCGCACCCUGGGUGCCUGGCGCCCCGGCAGCCUGCUGGGGUCUGGAGAGGCUCCGGGCUGUGGAAAUCGAGGAACAUCUGUGAUCAGUUCCCGAAAAUAUUUGCUGGUUUGAAAACUACAGAAGAGUCCAGAAAAGAAGAUAGAAACCACCCAAAUUGCAUCCAGAGAAGCAGCUGAAGUUCGGCUGUGACCGCUGUGUGCCCAUUGGUGCCCAGGGCAGCGGUUCCCAACAUCAUGGCACUGAGAAUCAGCAGGACGGCUCGCUGAACAAAGGCUCCCAUCCUAGCCCUCGGAGGCUGCGGCAGGAGGAUCGCAAGGCCAAGUCCAGCUUGGGCAACUUUGUGACACGCUGUCUCAAGAUACAGAGGAGAGCCUGGGUUCAGUGACCAGCAGCGCAAACCCAAGACAAGUGCUUCUCAGCCGGCGGGCCUGGGUGGGACGGCGCCUGGCGUCUCUCACUCCCGGGCCCAGGGAACACACGGCAGAGUGACUGGCCUUCGGGUUAUGCCUUCGUUAUUUCAAGAAGGGGCCACAACCUGUGGUGCUGGCAUCACUCGGGAACUUGUGAGAAAUGCAGAAUCUGAGGCCCCAGCCCAGCCCCAUUGAAUCGGAAGCUGUACUUUCUCAGCAGGACCCCUGAACACUCUGUAGCUGGCGUGGUGCUGCACGCCUGUCAUCCCAGCGCUCAGGAGGCUGAGGGAGGAGAGUUGCGUUUUCAAGGUCAGCCUGGGGUACAUAGUGAGACCUUGCCUCAAAAAGAAAGCACCGAUGUGCGCAGGACUGGCUUAUAUUUUGAGCAUUAUACUGUGUUACAGAGCUUCGCCCUAGAUCACUGAUACAAUUUACACACAAUAAAUGUGCCAUUGUGGAGCUCUGAUAAAAUUACACAGGACCGUCUCCCAUCUUUUCUGUCUGCUCACCAGGACUUUCCUGUACAGUUAAAUGUUUUGGGAAAACAGGAUCUUUCUUUGCAGUGCAGGUUGUCCCUGAACUCACUGUGUAGCCCAGGGUGGUCCAACUCAGUGAUCCUCCUGUCCCAGC
RNAcentral lists this long non-coding RNA (3636 nucleotides) under Heterocephalus glaber (naked mole-rat). RNAcentral's name for it is "lncRNA (ENSHGLG00100041373.1)". The record is from RNAcentral. Lineage: Eukaryota; Metazoa; Chordata; Mammalia; Rodentia; Bathyergidae.